Molecule: ribosomal RNA, 390 nt
Filed under: uncultured bacterium
Lineage: Bacteria
Description: bacterial SSU rRNA
Rfam family: Bacterial small subunit ribosomal RNA
Source: RNAcentral
GACGAACGCUGGCGGCGUGCUUAACACAUGCAAGUCGAGCGGUAAGGCCCUUUCGGGGGUACACGAGCGGCGAACGGGUGAGUAACACGUGGGUGACCUGCCCUCAGCUCUGGGAUAAGCCCGGGAAACUGGGUCUAAUACCGGAUAUGACUCCAUGACGCAUGUUGUGGGGUGGAAAGCCUUGUGCGGCUGAGGAUGGGCCCGCGGCCUAUCAGCUUGUUGGUGGGGUGAUGGCCACCAAGGCGACGACGGGUAGCCGGCCUGAGAGGGCGACCGGCCACACUGGGACUGAGAUACGGCCCAGACUCCUACGGGAGGCAGCAGUGGGGAAUCUUGCGCAAUGGGCGAAAGCCUGACGCAGCGACGCCGCGUGAGGGAUGACGGCCUGGU